This 520-nucleotide non-coding RNA is filed under the name uncultured Glomeromycotina. Its description in RNAcentral is "SSU rRNA". It matches the Rfam family "Eukaryotic small subunit ribosomal RNA", at positions 569 to 1085 of the family's 1831-position model. RNAcentral also lists the same sequence under 1 other name. The record is from RNAcentral. Lineage: Eukaryota; Fungi; Glomeromycota.
AGCAGCCGCGGUAAUUCCAGCUCCAAUAGCGUAUAUUAAAGUUGUUGCAGUUAAAAAGCUCGUAGUUGAAUUUCGGGAUUGACACAUCGGUCGUGCCUUAAGGGGUAUGAACUGGUGUAGUCAAUUUCUCACCUUCUGGAGAACCGCGAUGCCCUUAAUUGGGUGUCGCGGGGAACCAGGACCUUUACUUUGAAAAAUUAGAGUGUUUAAAGCAGGCAUUUUGCUUGAAUACAUUAGCAUGGAAUAAUAAAAUAGGACGGCAUGAUUCUAUUUUGUUGGUUUCUAGGAUCACCGUAAUGAUUAAUAGGGAUAGUUGGGGGCAUUAGUAUUCAAUUGUCAGAGGUGAAAUUCUUGGAUUUAUUGAAGACUAACUACUGCGAAAGCAUUUGCCAAGGAUGUUUUCAUUAAUCAAGAACGAAAGUUAGGGGAUCGAAGACGAUCAGAUACCGUCGUAGUCUUAACCAUAAACUAUGCCGACUAGGAAUCAGACGAUGUUAAUUUUUUAAUGACUCGUUUGGCA